This 224-nucleotide unclassified non-coding RNA is filed under the name Glomus sp. Its description in RNAcentral is "partial contains 5.8S ribosomal RNA and internal transcribed spacer 2". The stretch from base 1 to 65 matches the Rfam family "5.8S ribosomal RNA", at positions 84 to 154 of the family's 154-position model. Lineage: Eukaryota; Fungi; Glomeromycota; Glomeromycetes; Glomerales; Glomeraceae. The record is from RNAcentral.
GUGAAUCAUCAAAUUUUUGAACGCAAAUUGCACUCUCUGCGGAGAGUAGGCCUGUGUGAGGGUCAGCCUAAAAAAAAUCGACAUAGUCGCUGUUGCGCGGUGACAUUCGGCAGAAAUGGGGUCAUCGUAAACCUUUGGGAUUUAAGCGGCUUAACAUUUUCUCUACGAUUCUACGAACGUGGCUAAGAUUUACUUACACGUUGAAGGUAUCGAUUUUUAUUAGA